Molecule: ribosomal RNA, 165 nt
Filed under: Hemiboea suiyangensis
Lineage: Eukaryota; Viridiplantae; Streptophyta; Magnoliopsida; Lamiales; Gesneriaceae
Description: 5.8S ribosomal RNA
Rfam family: 5.8S ribosomal RNA (bases 2-135)
About the family: 5.8S ribosomal RNA (5.8S rRNA) is a component of the large subunit of the eukaryotic ribosome. It is transcribed by RNA polymerase I as part of the 45S precursor that also contains 18S and 28S rRNA.
Source: RNAcentral
CGGCUCUCGCAUCGAUGAAGAACGUAGCGAAAUGCGAUACUUGGUGUGAAUUGCAGAAUCCCGUGAACCAUCGAGUCUUUGAACGCAAGUUGCGCCCGAAGCCAUUUGGCCGAGGGCACGUCUGCCUGGGCGUCACGCAUCUAUUCGCCCCCCUCCCCCAACAUC